This 1324-nucleotide long non-coding RNA is filed under the name Homo sapiens (human). Its description in RNAcentral is "HSALNT0298665". The record is from RNAcentral. Lineage: Eukaryota; Metazoa; Chordata; Mammalia; Primates; Hominidae.
CUCGUCUCCGGCCUUCCCCUUUUAGGAAACAAAGGACCCGUGACAGAGCCUACUUAUCCCGUUACAGCUCCUGGUGAGAAGGGCGAAGCCAUGUCAGAAAUAAUAGAAAAGGCUUUUUCCUUUGAAAUAUCUAAACGUUCAAAGAUGGGAACAGCCGCAGGGGGGAGAAUACUGUGCUAUGCAAGUUGAUCUGAUUUUGUGGACCAUCCAUUUCCAAUUGGGAAGCUCACUUACUUUCAACUUGAAGCAUCAGAAAACCAGACUUACAGCAGCUUCAGCCUAUAGGGGUUUAUUUUUCUCAUGUAACAAGAAGAACAGAAGUGGACAGAGGCCGAGUUCUCAAGGACUCAGUUUCUUUCUGUCCCACCAACCUUACCAUGUUGGAUUGUCAUCUUUGUGCUUGUUGCCUCAUGAUGGCAAGAUGGCUGCAGCACCUCUGGGACUCACGACUGAUUUUUAAGUGGAUGCUCUGGUUCUGCCUAGGUGCCUUUCAGGAUUGGAGACUACUCCCCCAGUUGCUGAUGGUGUGGUCAGCCCUCAGUUUUCAGUCCUCUUUGGGAAUUGCCUUGGAUGAAGAAAGUCACCUCACCCAAGAUCACUCCAACUCCUGGGACCCACAUCCAAUGAUUGGCCAAUAUGGGGACUCAAAGGCCUGGUCCCCCUUCCCCAACUUGAGACUACUCUGAAGGAUCACCCAGCUUCAGAGCUUCCCAUGGUUGAGACUUUUAGACUUCACUGUGGUCCAACCAAUCUCUUCCUAUACACGGUCCUGACUCCUUCACUUCCCUCCCAGCACUUCUUCUGUGUUAAUAUCAAACUUCUGUGCUAAUAACAAACUUCUUCCGUGCUAAUAUCUCUCAGUGUCUCCUUCCCUGGGAACUCAACCCUAGAUUGUUUAUACCAGCAGUGAUCCAAGAAAGAGAUGCCAACAUGAGAUUUUGGAAUUGGAUCACCUACCAUCCAGCUGGCAGUGCAGACCCCAUCAGUGGCAGUAGAAGAAGUACAUAUAGUCCGUAGCACAAGAUAGCAGUGAAAUUGUUAAAACUUUUGCCAAUGGUGAACUAGAAUGGUAUUCCCAUGGAAGGAAAUGCACCAGAGGGUGUGACCUAUCAGGUGGUUGAGAAAUAUGGGGAGAAUUACCACAAGGACAAUUCAAUUAGGUGGCUUUCACUAAGGAUAAUUAACACUUUGAAAAAAAUAAUGAAAUGUUGAAAAGGAUUCAUCAGCAAUUGAAAACUGAGUGGAGCUCAUAGGGAUACUCUCAUCCCUUGCACCUGGAGGAAAGGGAAAGCUGAGGACCAGGUACAUGGUGUAAUCCUAAUAG